CUCAUCCUCUGCUGCUGUUUUCUGUGUCACAAGCUGAGAAAUCAGAUGCUCAAAUUUGGAAGAAGCCUCCAAUGGUUUGAUUUCGUAAGUGAAGUCAUCCAGCUGCAGCAUGCCACGCAGACCCCCAUGGCAGGUGUCCAGGGUGCCCGUGGACCCAGGAACCCCUUCCAGACUGGGAACAAGCAAACAGUACUGGACAGAUGGAUGACACACAAAGGGCCUAUUCACUCAGUGGGAAAAUCCUCACCUCACAUUUCUCAUCCUCUGCUGCUGUUUUCUGUGUCACAAGCUGAGAAAUCAGAUGCUCAAAUUUGGA
This is a long non-coding RNA of Capra hircus (goat), 316 nucleotides long. RefSeq lists it as uncharacterized. The transcript is spliced from 3 exons. The record is from RefSeq and is a predicted model, not a curated record. Lineage: Eukaryota; Metazoa; Chordata; Mammalia; Artiodactyla; Bovidae.